Molecule: unclassified non-coding RNA, 334 nt
Filed under: soil metagenome
Description: partial contains 5.8S ribosomal RNA, internal transcribed spacer 2, and large subunit ribosomal RNA
Rfam family: 5.8S ribosomal RNA (bases 1-120)
Source: RNAcentral
GAUGAAGAACGUAGCGAAAUGCGAUAAGUAAUGUGAAUUGCAGAAUUCAGUGAAUCAUCGAAUCUUUGAACGCACAUUGCGCCCGCCAGUAUUCUGGCGGGCAUGCCUGUUCGAGCGUCAUUUCAACCAUCAAGCCCCGGGCUUGUGUUGGGGACCUGCGGCUGCCGCAGGCCCUGAAAUGCAGUGGCGGGCUCGCUGUCACUCCGAGCGUAGUAGUUACAUCUCGCUCUGGGCGUGCUGCGGGUUCCGGCCGUUAAAAGCCUUAUUUACCCAAGGUUGACCUCGGAUCAGGUAGGAAGACCCGCUGAACUUAAGCAUAUCAAUAAGCAGAGGA